RNAcentral lists this ribosomal RNA (288 nucleotides) under uncultured bacterium. Its description in RNAcentral is "partial 16S ribosomal RNA". It matches the Rfam family "Bacterial small subunit ribosomal RNA", at positions 28 to 341 of the family's 1533-position model. The record is from RNAcentral.
GAUGAACGCUGGCGGCGUGCCUAAUACAUGCAAGUCGAACGAGCUCUUCGGAGCUAGUGGCGGACGGGUGAGUAACACGUUGGUACCUACCCCUAAGUGGGGAAUAACUGCCCGGAAAGGGUGGCUAAUACCGCAUAAUCCCGCAAGGGUAAAGCAGUAAUGCGCUUAGGGAGGGGCCUGCGUCCCAUUAGCUUGUUGGUAGUGUAAUGGACUACCAAGGCGACGAUGGGUANCUGGANCGAGAGGUUGACCAGCCACACUGGGACUGAGAUACGGCCCAGACUCCUA